RNAcentral lists this ribosomal RNA (250 nucleotides) under uncultured bacterium. RNAcentral's name for it is "partial 16S ribosomal RNA". It matches the Rfam family "Bacterial small subunit ribosomal RNA", at positions 524 to 773 of the family's 1533-position model. The record is from RNAcentral.
GACAGAGGGUGCAAACGUUGCUCGGAAUCACUGGGCGUAGAGGGCGUGUAGGCGGAAAGGAAAGUCAGAUGUGAAAUCCCUGGGCUCAACCCAGGAACUGCAUUUGAAACUCCCUUUCUUGAGUACCGGAGAGGAAGGCGGAAUUCCUGGUGUAGAGGUGAAAUUCGUAGAUAUCAGGAGGAACACCGGUGGCGAAGGCGGCCUUCUGGACGGUAACUGACGCUGAGACGCGAAAGCGUGGGGAGCAAAC